Non-coding RNA from Caranx melampygus (bluefin trevally), 72 nucleotides. The record is from the annotation of a GenBank genome assembly. Lineage: Eukaryota; Metazoa; Chordata; Actinopteri; Carangiformes; Carangidae.
GCAUGCUGGUGUAGUGGUUAGCACUGUUGACUCAGAUUUAUGUUUCUGGGUUCAAUCCCCAGGCCCGAGGCG